This 625-nucleotide ribosomal RNA is filed under the name uncultured bacterium. Its description in RNAcentral is "bacterial SSU rRNA". The stretch from base 1 to 522 matches the Rfam family "Bacterial small subunit ribosomal RNA", at positions 338 to 873 of the family's 1533-position model. The record is from RNAcentral.
CCUACGGGAGGCAGCAGUGGGGAAUAUUGGGCAAUGGAGGAAACUCUGACCCAGCGACGCCGCGUGCGGGAUGAAGGCCUUCGGGUUGUAAACCGCUUUCAGUAGGGAAGAAGCGAAAGUGACGGUACCUACAAAAGAAGCACCGGCUAACUAUGUGCCAGCAGCCGCGGUAAUACAUAGGGUGCAAGCGUUGUCCGGAAUUAUUGGGCGUAAAGAGCUCGUAGGUCGUUUGUUACGUCGGAUGUGAAAACCUGAGGCUCAACCUCAGGCCUGCAUUCGAUACGGGCAAACUAGAGUUUGGUAGGGGAGACUGGAAUUCCUGGUGUAGCGGUGGAAUGCGCAGAUAUCAGGAGGAACACCAAUGGCGAAGGCAGGUCUCUGGGCCAAUACUGACACUGAGGAGCGAAAGUCUGGGGAGCGAACAGGAUUAGAUACCCUGGUAGUCCAGACCGUAAACGGUGGGCGCUAGUUGUGGGAACCUUCCACGGUUUCUGCGACGCAGCUACGCAUAAGUAGCCCGCCCGUCGGGUAGGUACGAGUCGCGAAGAAGUUAAAACUUAACAAACUAGUAAGUUAGUACGGUUCGUUGUAGACGUUGCCGACGGCGACGACGAGGGAGGUUAGG